UGGUAGCGCACCUGCCUUGGGAGCAGGGUGUCGCAGGUUCAAAUCCUGUCAUCU
This 54-nucleotide transfer RNA is filed under the name Emiliania huxleyi. RNAcentral describes it as "partial tRNA". It matches the Rfam family "tRNA", at positions 16 to 67 of the family's 71-position model. From Rfam's summary of the family: Transfer RNA (tRNA) molecules are approximately 80 nucleotides in length. Lineage: Eukaryota; Haptophyta; Isochrysidales; Noelaerhabdaceae. The record is from RNAcentral.